GAACGUUUCAGCCGCUGCCCAGCAGGAAAGAUCUGGUUGUGGGAGACCUCUUUCAGGACUCACUGUUUGUCUGAAGGCUGUCACAGCAGAUGAGUACUCAGCAAACAGCGUGAACAAGGAUUUGAACCAGAAAACCAACAGAGCCUUGACAAUAUUGUGAUUGGGCCUUGUCUCUUUAGAGGGGGCUGAAAGCCCAGUUGAGAGCAGUAACAAGUGCACAUUCAGAGCAGGACGGGGAUGCCUUUGGGUUGUGUUUUAUGGUUUUGAGGCUUAUAUGUAGGUGGAUAAAGCCAAAUCAUGUUAAUCUCCUCUUUCUCCUUUCAGAAUGGGAGAACCUGUGGCACUUUAAUUGCCUAAAGUCUUACAAAGUCAUUCGUCAGUCUUGUUAGGUCAAACGCGAAUGAGACUUUCGGGCAGUGCAAAUACAACACGAGUGGAAGCGUACUUUAAAAGUGUAAAUAACAUCGCUGCAACGCGAUAUUACGCUUGGUUUAUUGAUGUUAUUUCACAUUUUCUCUGGUGCUUUGGCUUUCAUCAAAGGAUCCUAUUGACGGACCUGCUGUGGACGCCAUUAAGACGACACUUGACUCUGUUGUGCAGCCCCCUCCAGUGUCCCUGUUUGCACCUGACGAUGUAACGAUGGAUGUCAUGUAAGAUGUGCAGGGCCUCUGUCAGAGACUAUAGAUUUAGGGGCAAUAGGAGAUCUUUACAUUCAACAUGCACUUAUUCACACAGUCGACCCUGCACACUUCCUCACUUACUGCGAAUCACACAGACACACAAGCACCUUCGCUUUGUCACCUGGUCUCUGGCCAGAAAAGGGGAUUAGAAAAACAACCCUGCUCCUUCCAGUGAAUGGAAGGGGAGGGGUGGGGGGGGUAUUGUUUUCUCAUUUUCAGGAUAAAUAAGACUUGUGCGAAAAAUAAAAUCCACUCGGUUGAUUUAGACCAGUGUGUUUUCACACCAACAGGUCUGAUAACACCAAUGAAUCAGCUACUGAAGACAAAUAGAACGAGGAGUGAGAAUCAGUUAAAUCAGAUUACACAUAAAACAAACCGAUUAUAUGCUCCAGUUUUGUUUUCCCCUCUGACUUUGUAUACAUUUAUCGACUUAUUUAUCCAUUUGACGGCGAGUGAGAGGGCCGUACAAAGAGCGAUGUUGUCUUUUGGAGGAGUUGGGCUAACUUUGAAGGUUUCUGAAGAGAGAGGCUUGUGAUGGAAUGGGCUGGGAAGGACUGUGACUUCUCCAUUGAGAGUGGAGGGGCACGCUGGAUUAGCUUGAUUUGCCUGUGAAUGGGCGCUUUCCAUUAUUCUUGUUAGGGAGCUGUCACAUCGAAUUGAGAAAGUGAAAACCUCCUUUUAUCAACCUUUUCCAAGUGAAACUGAACAGACAAUCAAUAACUGAAUUCAGGCCCAGGGGGAAAGUCAAGCAGAAUGAUAUGGGGCUGUUAUAAAGGGGGUAUUUGUCAAAUUGCUAAUGGGAAAAAGCAGAUAACUGGUGUAAUGUUGGCUCCAGAUGCUGUUGGGAUUAAUGGAAAACUGAAGAUGAAGAAAUUAAGUCGUAGUGGUACAAAUAAAAUUAGGUCUGUUUAGCACUUUAAAAAAAUGGUAAUUCAAAAUAAAUUGCAAAAAUACAAAUGCUACUACUACUAUUAAUAAUAAUAUAAAACGACAAUAAUGUGAAGGAGAUCUGCUGGACAAAGCGGGUGAUAUUAAAAUAUUAGUUUCAGAAUAUCUAAAAACAUUUUUUUUGUAAAAAUAAAUAUUAAGCCUAUUUAGAAACCUUCAAGAAAUACACCAAAUCACAAAAGUCUUAUUUCCGAUAAUUAAGCUGAAUCCAAAAUGCUAGUAUUAUACUUUAAUAGUAAAAAUAUUGCUUGGAUGCAAAAUAUAUUUUAACAAUAUAUUCAUCAUAUUAUGAUUAUGAUCAUUUUGCAACAAGUUCAAGACCAAACAAACCGGGAGUGUCUCGCUUUUUUAUUAUAAGAAUGACACCAUAUUGUUUUGGAGUUUCAUUAUAUUGACCUUAUUGUGCCAUUGUGCUUGUUCUGACACCAUGAUAAUGCCUGAAUACAGAGGGAAUUAUGCUCUGUAUAAAUAGUUCCCAUAGUCAAGGAUCGCUUCAAUUAUCCCUCUACACAUUGACAACACCAACAGAAUAAAAACUAAAGCCUUAGUCCAAGCUGGUCUCAAGGCGCUCUUCAAACAUUGUUUUGGCUUUUGUUAGAGGGGCAGAGGAACAUCGCCAGCAUCAAUGGUAAUAGAGAAAAAAAAUACAUUCAUCUGAUACAUUAACUGCUUUUAUACAAUCAGAGCAUUCAUUGAGAUUUUUUUUUAUAAAAGUAAUUAAAGUACAUUAAUAGUUGUUUUAAACACUUUUUAGUAUAAUAUAUUAUUCAUAUGUUGUAAUUGUGUAGUAUAUUCCGUUCUGUUUCUAGUGUUUACAGGAUUUUUCCAUCAUAUUAAAUUGCACAUUUUAUCAUGCCGCAAGGCUUCCACACCCAAACCAUUAUUCAACAAAUUUUCUCAUAUUGCUGUAGCCAAUUUUUACGCUGGUUGGAGAAAAUGAAUCGGAUCAUUUGGCCUCAUCAAUCAAUUUGGUAAUUGAUGUCUUAAUCAUUAUACAGUUAAUUGAGCACCUUCAUUGUUGCCUGUCAUUGUCCCAAGUACCAGCCUGCAGCAGUUUGGGGGGAAUUGGAACAAACGACGUGAAUUUAUUGCUUACUUACUAUAACCGCUUUCCAAAUAUUGAGUAAACAUUUGGGGCAAAAAGGUUUUUUUUUAGAAGUGUGUCUUCCUUUACAGGCCUUAGUCGGUGCUGUUUUGUAAAAGGUAACUCAAAAAUAAGCACAAAAUGAUUUUGUUGAGUGCGGCUAUUCCCGCCAAUAAGAGCACGUGUGGUUUUCAUCGGCGUAAUUGUCAUCCAUCCAUCUUCUCCGCACAGUGAGUUGAUCGCAGCCUAUGAAAAAUGACUCAUGGCUGUAAUGACGGCCUCACCUCUGAGUGGUAACCACGUUGGCAGCCCUCUGUGGAACAGUAAUUCCCCAUUUAUUCCACUUCAAUGUCUUCUCCACCUCAUAUACCCUCUUACCUUUCAAAUGGUCACGUGAGAAAUCCUUCUUUUCUCAAUGCAUCCACUCCCAACAUCAGAUGAACACUACAGGCAAAAAGGCCGAGGCUGCAGAGGCCACCGGCUGUCACGCAGAGAGACGGGGGUGCAGGAGGUGGGUGCAGGAGAUGCGUGCAGGAGAUAGGUGGAGGCCGGCUGUUCGGGCUCAGGGGGACUGCCGGGGGAGGGGAAGAGUCCUUAAUUGAGUUAGAGAAUACUUUAAUCACGACUGUUUCCCACAUUCCUGCUCUUAACGCUUCACAUACAAUAUGAGCUACAAAGGGAGGAGGGGAAAAAAAGGAAAACCGCCAGUUCCAGCCCGCGAAAUGUGCAGCUGCGAGGUAAUUAUCAUCAAGCACCCCGGCAUCUGUGUACAAACAAUCCCACAGCUGCUGGCAUUGAUACUGUAAAUGCAGAGAGGAGCGGAGAAAGCCCAGGUUGACCCCAGGGCCUCGCUGUCGCCUCCAAGACCACGACCCAUUCAUCUGGGAGGUGUUGGUGACACCCGUGAAUACUCGACCUGUUCACCAUUUCAAAUGAGCAGUCUCUCUUUUUGUUUACGCCGCUGUGUUCGCCUGUUUAGAACGUUGUAUGAAAUGUUUGUAUCGUAUUGCAAAAAUACUGUAAUUAUCAGGGUUCUUACAGCACACGAGUACUAACGUGUGAAUUUC
This is a long non-coding RNA of Gasterosteus aculeatus aculeatus (three-spined stickleback), 3779 nucleotides long. Lineage: Eukaryota; Metazoa; Chordata; Actinopteri; Perciformes; Gasterosteidae. The record is from Ensembl.